This 484-nucleotide ribosomal RNA is filed under the name uncultured bacterium. RNAcentral describes it as "partial 16S ribosomal RNA". It matches the Rfam family "Bacterial small subunit ribosomal RNA", at positions 29 to 507 of the family's 1533-position model. The record is from RNAcentral.
AUUGAACGCUGGCGGCAUGCUUUACACAUGCAAGUCGAACGGCAGCGCGGGCUUCGGCCUGGCGGCGAGUGGCGAACGGGUGAGUAAUACAUCGGAACGUGCCCAGUAGUGGGGGAUAGCUUGGCGAAAGCCGGAUUAAUACCGCAUACGACCUGAGGGUGAAAGCGGGGGAUCUUCGGACCUCGCGCUAUUGGAGCGGCCGAUGGCAGAUUAGCUAGUUGGUGGGGUAAAGGCCUACCAAGGCGACGAUCUGUAGCUGGUCUGAGAGGACGACCAGCCAAACCGGGAAUGAGAAAACGGCCAGAAUCCUAAGGGGAGGCAGAGGGGGGAAAUUUUGAACAAGGGGGGAAAGCCGAAUCAAGAAAGGCGGGGGGGGUGAGGAAGGCCUUCGGGUUGUAAAGAAUUUUUGGCGGGAAGAAAAGGACUGUGCCAAUACCACGGUUCGAUGACGGUACCCGCAGAAUAAGCACCGGCUGACUACGUG